Molecule: non-coding RNA, 46 nt
Filed under: Trichobilharzia regenti
Lineage: Eukaryota; Metazoa; Platyhelminthes; Trematoda; Strigeidida; Schistosomatidae
Source: RNAcentral
GUACUACUGAAGAGUCCCAAACUAGGAUGAAACGGCUGUCCUGUAA